AUGUUUUGGUUUAUCCCAACUUUUACAUCGUUUAGCAGUAACAUCGGAAACUGUGAAGUCGGGCAACGAAACCCCCACGACUACAUCACUGGAUCACAUUGCGUUGCAGCCCGUGUGCCGGGUGAGGGUGCCCCCUCCACCAAGGGAGGUUUGCAGCCCAUGUGCCGGGUGAGGGUGCCCCCUCCACCAAGGGAGGUUUGCAGCCCGUGUGCCGAUGGGGGGGCCCCCUCCACCAAGGGAGGUUUGCAGCCCAUGUGCCAGGUGAGGGUGCCCCCUCCACCAAGGGAGGUUUGCAGCCCGUGUGCCGGGUGAGGGUGCCCCCUCCACCAAGGGAGGUUUGCAGCCCGUGUGCCGGGUGAGGGUGCCCCCUCCACCAAGGGAGGUUUGCAGCCCGUGUGCCGGGUGAGUGUGCCCCCUCCACCAAGGGAGGUUUGCAGCCCGUGUGCCGGGUGAGGGUGCCCCCUCCACCAAGGGAGGUUUGCAGCCCGUGUGCCGGGUGAGGGUGCCCCCUCCACCAAGGGAGGUUUGCAGCCCGUGUGCCCUCCACCCUUCCACCCAGGGAUAAAGUGCGUGAGGCUCCCAAAUCAGCAGGUGCCAGGAGUGAGGGGGAAUGUUUGUCCACAGGUGUCGAGGGUCCGUCUGUGUCCGUGUGCCGGGAUGAAUUCCCCAGCGUCGCAGACCCACAGGUGCCAGGAGUGAGGGGGAAUGUUUUGCCACCGGUGUCGAGGGUCCAUCCAUGUCUGCGUCCACGUCUACAGUUCGCGUGUUGACUCCCUCAGUCCUGCAAACCCAGAACAAGUUGAACACAUUGGUUGGGCAGAUUGUGACUGAACUCGGAAGAAUAUAGCCCAAGCUUUUGAAUAAUUUACAUAAUGCAAUUGUUGAACGUUUUCCACAACAUGAAUCAAAAAAACUCUUUGUAUAUUGUCUGGCAUUCUGUUUCUUACCACCAAUCUCUGUAUGAGCUGCCGCCUCCUCACUGCAUCAGGCGGGGCAGGUGCUCAAUUGGGUGGUAGGUUAGAAGGCUCUUGGGGGUCCAUUCUAAUGUCAUGCCUCAGGGCUAUGUUGUGGAGCACACCACAUGCCAGUAUUAUGCCUCUCACCUUUGAUUGGGGAGGAAAACCAUUCGUUCUUAAAACCGGCCAACAUAGCAUAAACAUAACAUAAAAUGCUAAAUAUAAAAUGUUGAUAUCUGUUGCUUUAAGUUGACCCAUUUUAAAACUAAAUUAAAGUUUCACAUUUUUAUUAAAUGGAGUUACAUUUUCUGGCUUGUAGAGGAGUUUUCCACCUGAUGCAUCAAGGCAAAGCCACCUGCCCUUCAGCAGUCCGAUGGUGCGCACCACAACCAACCUUGUUCUGCCAUGUGGCAAGUUGUAGCGCAUUUCCUCUGCUGUUCGGGGAUCGGCAAAGGGGGUGAGAAGCCACGUUUUCAGUGGAUAGACCUGUCACCUAAUAGGGUAAAACCGUUGUUACAUUAUUUUGCACGGUUAAUAGGCUAUUAUACACUGAAAAGAAAAGAACUCACUGAGAAGCCACCCGCCUCCACUCUCACCAGCUUCUAGAUGCAGGCCUACUCUGCUGUGGCGCAGAAUUAAUUAGUCAUGCGUAGACCCUGGCCACUUAGAGCAUACAUUGAGAAGUUGCAUACAGGCAUUGCAGAUGAUCUGAACAUUCAAUUAAUGGAAAUUCUUCCUGUUAACAUAUUCAUGCUCAUCUGUAGAUGGUGCACGUAAGGCAAUAUGCGUGCAGUCAACUGCACCUAUGACCCUUGGGAAAUUAAAUGAGCGCACAAACUCGGCUUUGAGGAGAGCCUGUUCAUCGGCUGUAAAUGGGAAACUAAUGUAUCUCCUGGACAAGAUGUGUAGCAUCGCCUCGAUCACUUGUGGCAGGAUGCGGUUGAAUGAUGGCUGUGAUAUAGAACAUUUCAUCCUGUUGUUAAUUCAAAACACAUUGCCUCUGGCAAUUAAUUGAUAAUUGAUAAUUAUAAUUAAUAAUUUAAUUGAUAAUUCCUAACAAAUUGUUUAUAAAGCUAAUGCACAGUUCACCACAGGCUUGGACGCAUAUACGCCCCAAACUGCAAUACCCCUACAAAACCAGCAGGAAAAUCACUUACGUCAAGUCUAGACUUUGCGUAGAGACAAGAUCAUUUCCACAUCAAAGUGAGGUUUUAUAAAUAACUACUUAUACAUGGUUUUCUGCAUAAGUUAUACUUAAUUCAGAUCAAAAUUUAUCGUAAAUCCGUUUUAUAAAUGAGGCCCCAGGGUUGAACCGUAUUCAAGAACUUAUUGGGGUUAGACCAAGAGAGAGAACUGCUCCUUAAAGUAACUAACUUUGACCUUCUGGAUAGCCUGAGUGCACUUAUUUCUCAUUUGCCUGAACGAGAGCCAGUCAGCCUGAGUAUGUGUGUGCCGAGCAAUUUGCCAAAUGUAAUUCUUGAGGUGGAGUCACUCUGCCAGAUCACGGUCGAACCAGGGGCUGAACCUCUUUUUAAUUCAAAUUUUCUUUAUGGACACGUAUUUGUUAGUAAUACUUCUGACAAUAUCAAAAAAGAAGGUCCAAGCAUUUUCGACAGAGGGGAUUCUAUACCAAUUUACAGAGGCCAGAUCAUGAAGGAAGGCUUGCUCAUUAAAGUUUUUUAGCAAGUGUCUAUGACAAGUCAGGACAGGUCAUUUCACUGAGCAGCCAUUAUGAACACAGGCUAUAAAAAGUGAUCACUAAGGUCAUUACAGAAAACACCAGACUGAUACCUAUCAGGAUUAUUUGUAAGGAUAACAUCCAGGACAUGACUUUAAUGAAUCAAAUACCAGUUCCCAUUUGAAAAUAACAUCUAUUUCUAAUCAUUAGGUUUGCUUGGUGAAGCUGUAACAAAAUAAUUAAUUAUAUGGAGAGUGAAACAACUGAACCCAGUACAAGUACAUUACUUUACUAUCCAUCCCUUCCAAUCUGUAAAAUUGUAAGAGAGCAGACAAAACAGGACCAACAAAAUCAUUUUUGCUGUUGUAGUUGAGCUUACAGCUCCCAACAAUCACAGUGAGUCAUGAAUAUGCAAUUGCAGCUGUCAAAACUGCCACCGGCUACAUUGUGCAUACUGUAGCAUUGCUUAGAAACCUGCAUAUUGCCUACAGACUGCCUUCACACCACUCAAAUUUAACACCACACUGUCACUAUGGCUCACUUCCCAGGUGGCUGACACAGCCAGGAGCAGUGUUUUGUACGAGUAGGUGAGGGAGGUUAACAACUAUUGAUCUCACUACUAUGUGUUCUAUGAUGAACAGCCACAUGCUUUAAUGAAUGCAACUGUCAGAGCGAAUGAAACACCUGGUCGCCCCUGGCCUGGCACGUAGCCCUGGUCUUCUUAAAUCACAGUCAAUGAUUUAGAAUGAAUAGGCAUUCAAUGAAUAGCCAAUUAUUUAGAAUCGAUAGUCAUUCCCUCCAACAUGGACAGCCAUUGAUUAAAACCUAGAGAUACUGGAAGAGGAAGGCUUUUCUCUACAUUCAUUGGCCAUAAAAACAGGGAUCAUGUAAUCAACCCAUGUCACGUCCUGACCUUAGUUCCUUGUUUUUGUUUCUAUUUUAGGUUGGUCAGGGCGUGAGUUGGGGUGGGCAUUCUAUGUGUUGUUCUAGUUUUGGUUUUCUAUGUGUUUGGCCUGGUAUGGUUCUCAAUCAGAGGCAGCUGUCAAUCGUUGUCUCUGAUUGAGAACCAUACUUAGGCAGCCUGUUUUUCCCACUUGAGUUGUGGGUGACUGUUUUCUGUGUCUGUGUUUCCUCCAUACAGAACUGUUUCGUUUUUUCGUUUCUGUCUUUCACGUUGUUAUUUUGUAUUUUUGUGUUCAGUGACUUUUCAUUAAAAAACGACGAACACUUACCAUGCUGCACAUUGGUCCUAUCUGUCAUACUCCUCGUCAGAGGAAGACGAAUUUCGUUACAACCCAGUCUAAUUGACAAAUAAAUAAGGAUGCUUGAGGAGAUCCAUUUGAAUAGUUACUGUUGCGUAUCCACUACGUGAUACCGCUAUAAAUUCAAUUUUAAACCCUGUGCUUAACCCCCCCGUUCUGCCGUUCCAAUAUCCACUUCCAAAAAUAAAACAAUGUAAUCUACGGUGAUGUAGACAUGUAUAGAUUGAUAUGAGUAACUAUAUGAAUCCAUCAUGAUGCGCUUUUUGAUAAAACCAUCACAAAUAGCCAACUGUUACAUUCAAAUAGGCUACUGUAUAGGAUGCGACAGACCCUCUGUCCAGUACCUGUUGCAUACAAGCAGGUGGUCAUCAGAGGCAGCUGUGCACACUGCAGGCAGCCCACUGAGGAUUUGGUGCACAAUUUCACAAAUUACUCUACUGUAAUGAAGGCUAUGCUGUAAAACAGCUGAGAGCGUUCAAGGGUUAUUUAUUUCACUCUGCUCCUCUCUCUGGAGUGGGAAACAUGGGGACCGUUGAUGCGCUCAGUUUGGUGAUUCUCCAAUGUGGAUAAGUUGACAGUCACAGUCUGAUUCACUGUCAGUCUCCGCUGAUAUUGGAGGAGUUGAAACGUGGACACCUGCUCUUCUUGCCGAAUAGGUAAGGUUUAAAAUGUGAAUUUUCAUGUUUUCUAGGCUUAAUAGGCUAUAGGAAAUCAUCAAUCAUUUUACAAUCGUUUUUCUGAAAAGAUUAGAUUAGUAACGUCACUUU
This 4663-nucleotide long non-coding RNA is filed under the name Oncorhynchus kisutch (coho salmon). RNAcentral's name for it is "lncRNA (ENSOKIG00005003122.1)". The record is from RNAcentral. Lineage: Eukaryota; Metazoa; Chordata; Actinopteri; Salmoniformes; Salmonidae.